GGGUCCGCACAAGCGGUGGAGCAUGUGGUUUAAUUCGAUGAUACGCGAAGAACCUUACCUGGGCUCUAAUGCGAGUGACCGCUCCUGAAAGGGAGCUUUCCUUCGGGACACGAAGCAAGGUGCUGCAUGGUUGUCGUCAGCUCGUGCCGUGAGUGUUGGGUUAAGUCCCGCAACGAGCGCAACCCCGUAUCUUUAGUUGCCAGCGAUUCGGUCGGGGACUCUAGAGAGACUGCCUGCGCAAGCAGAGAGGAAGGCGGGGACGACGUCAAAUCAUCAUGGCCUUUAUGGGCUGGGCUACACACGUGCUACAAUGGCAGUGACAGAGGGACGCUAACCAGGUGACUGG
This 346-nucleotide ribosomal RNA is filed under the name uncultured bacterium. RNAcentral's name for it is "bacterial SSU rRNA". It matches the Rfam family "Bacterial small subunit ribosomal RNA", at positions 917 to 1264 of the family's 1533-position model. The record is from RNAcentral.